This is a long non-coding RNA of Poeciliopsis prolifica (blackstripe livebearer), 862 nucleotides long. RefSeq lists it as uncharacterized. The transcript is spliced from 3 exons. NCBI's taxonomy places the organism in Eukaryota, Metazoa, Chordata, Actinopteri, Cyprinodontiformes, Poeciliidae. The record is from RefSeq and is a predicted model, not a curated record.
AUAUUAUUUAUAGUAAUAAUUAUUAUAAUUUUUAUUGCCGUUUGCUGUUAAUAUAAGUUAUAAGUUGCAUCAGAAUAACUGAAUCUUGACGAAAUCUUGGUCCAAUGUUACAAAAUGAGGUUUAAAUAAAUUCUUUUCACCAAACAUAAACAUUUCCACUUAUGUUUUAUAAUAUUAAUAUUUUGUCGUGCUUUUCUGUUGCAGGCAGAUGUAAUGUAUGCCCAGACUGCUGUUUGACGGGGUCAGACGAGGUCAGGGGGGAAAUCGUAGAGUGUUAUGAACAGAAACCAGGACCAGCCUGUGCUAAACACUUCUACAGGGUUAAGAUCAAACAUGGUGUUAAAUAUUUGUGCAUCAACCCAAAUUCCAAAUGGUUCGAAGGAGUGAAAACACAGAAAAACCUAACUUGCAGCCCAGGAGUGGCGCAUCGUGGACACAAAUUACAUGUUACAGCAAAACCAAAAAAGAGAAGCUCUGACCACCCUGCGUUACUGACUGCUACAGGAAAAACAGAAGCUUGAAAACAUCUGCUUCAGAGACAUCAGCAGUGUUUUUCAUAGAUCUCAGUAGGAAACAAACAUGUUUUAUGAGUUUAGAGAAACAUGAAAUUUAUGAUAGUUAACGACUUUCUGUCCUCCAAAUCCAUAAAUGUACAUUUAUUCUCACUUCUAAAUAUUCAGCCCUCUGAUAAAGGAACUCUGCUUAUUCAAAAGAUGUCAAACAAAAUUUUAUGAGUUUAUUUUCUUUUCAUCUUUCGUUUUCAUUUUGCUAUGUUAAUCAGAUUAUUUGUAUUCAAAAGAUGUUAUAUUUUAUGCUUUCAUAAACUUGUAAUUAAGUUGUUUUUUUUUAAUUCUUCAAUAUU